GCCCCUGUAGAUCAAUAGAAGAUCGUCAGCCUCCUAGUGCUAACUGGUUCAGCUGAAGGUUCCGAGUGCAAGUCUCGGCAGGGGUU
This is a non-coding RNA of Cryphonectria parasitica EP155, 86 nucleotides long. NCBI's taxonomy places the organism in Eukaryota, Fungi, Ascomycota, Sordariomycetes, Diaporthales, Cryphonectriaceae. The record is from the annotation of a RefSeq genome assembly.